UGAGUGAACCAGGUGAUCGCGGGAAGACUCUACCGAGUCUUCUUGAGGAAAGUCCGAGCUCCAUAGAGCAGGAUGCUGGGUAACGCCCAGUGGGGGUAACCCUAAGGCUAGUGCCACAGAAAUAGUCCGCCUAGAGAUAGGUAAGGUUGAAAAGGUGAGGUAAGAGCUCACCAGCGGUUAGGUGACUAAUCGGCUAGGUAAACCCCAUCCGGAGCAAGGUCAAAUAGGGAAGCAGAGGCUGCUCGUCUCGUUUUACUUCCGGGUUGACCGCAUGAGGUUUUAGGUAACUAAGACCCUAGAUAGAUGAUCAUCCUUGACAGAACUCGGCUUACAGGUUCACUCAGAAC
RNAcentral lists this RNase P RNA (347 nucleotides) under Bacillota bacterium. RNAcentral describes it as "Firmicutes bacterium (anaerobic digester metagenome) RNase P RNA component class A". It matches the Rfam family "Bacterial RNase P class A". From Rfam's summary of the family: Ribonuclease P (RNase P) is a ubiquitous endoribonuclease, found in archaea, bacteria and eukarya as well as chloroplasts and mitochondria. Its best characterised activity is the generation of mature 5'-ends of tRNAs by cleaving the 5'-leader elements of precursor-tRNAs. Lineage: Bacteria; Bacillati; Bacillota. The record is from RNAcentral.